This 358-nucleotide long non-coding RNA is filed under the name Ananas comosus (pineapple). RNAcentral's name for it is "long non-coding RNA (ACOM_LNC000137)". Lineage: Eukaryota; Viridiplantae; Streptophyta; Magnoliopsida; Poales; Bromeliaceae. The record is from RNAcentral.
UAUUUUGAUACAUUUGAAUAUACAAGAAGACUAAACAACAAAAGUUAAAAUUAUACCUAUAUUACCGACCGUCUCUAACGUAAGUUGCAAAGGGCUUGGUGAUUGGUACCCAAGGUUUCAAGUUCGAUUCCUAGUUGAUUCACAUUUUCAGUUAAGUUUAUUUCUAAAUAAAAUAAACGAAGCGCUGCCUAUCUCUAAAAAAAAAAACAAAAACAACAAAAAUUAUACCUAUAUUUAACAUGUAUUAUUCCAACUAUAAGAGAUUGUUUGGUUAGAUGUAAUUACGAAUAUAGAAUAAUUGGAGAUGCAUGCAAUUGAAAAUAUAAUUAUAAUUGCAAUAAUAUGCAUCAUCCUGUUU